GCCAGACUCCUACGGGAGGCAGCAGUGGGGGAUAUUGCACAAUGGGGGGAACCCUGAUGCAGCGACGCCGCGUGAGCGAUGAAGUAUUUCGGUAUGUAAAGCUCUAUCAGCAGGGAGGAAAAUGACGGUACCUGACUAAGAAGCCCCGGCUAACUACGUGCCAGCAGCCGCGGUAAUACGUAGGGGGCAAGCGUUAUCCGGAUUUACUGGGUGUGAAGGGAGCGUAGACGGCAUGGCAAGUCAGAUGUGAAAGCCCGGGGCUCAACCCCGGGACUGCAUUUGAAACUGUCAGGCUGGAGUGCAGGAGAGGUAAGUGGAAUUCCUAGUGUAGCGGUGAAAUGCGUAGAUAUUAGGAGGAACACCAGUGGCGAAGGCGGCCUGCUGGACUGCAACUGACGUUGAGGCCCGAAAGCGUGGGGAGCAAACAGGAUUAGAUACCCCAGUA
RNAcentral lists this ribosomal RNA (445 nucleotides) under uncultured bacterium. RNAcentral's name for it is "bacterial SSU rRNA". It matches the Rfam family "Bacterial small subunit ribosomal RNA", at positions 330 to 792 of the family's 1533-position model. The record is from RNAcentral.